Molecule: ribosomal RNA, 434 nt
Filed under: Rhodnius cf. robustus SD-2013
Lineage: Eukaryota; Metazoa; Arthropoda; Insecta; Hemiptera; Reduviidae
Description: eukaryotic LSU rRNA
Rfam family: Eukaryotic large subunit ribosomal RNA
Source: RNAcentral
UAAGUAGGUGGUAAACUCCAUCUAAGGCUAAAUACAACCACGAGACCGAUAGCGAACAAGUACCGUGAGGGAGAGUUGAAAAGAACUUUGAAGAGAGAGUUCAAGAGUACGUGAAACCGCUCAGGGGUAAACGGAAAAGACCUGAAUAUCCGGAAGGGGAGAUUCACGUCUUACCAUUUGCUCAACUUUUAAAUGAUUUGAGAUGGCCUCUCGCCCUAUUCAGUGUAACAGCUGUGAUAGUGGGUUUGGUCGCUCUCAUUUAAAUAGCAAGGGUAAUGGUGGACCGCACUUCUCCCUUAGUAGGACGUUGUGACCUGUCAAUAAAUAUUCUAAGUAUUUGGCUAUUAUGUCUGUUCUAAGUUAUACCGUUAAGGUAUUUUCUUUAAAACAGUUUUAGCCGUUUUAUAUACUGGAUAAAAUUGACAGUAACGAAU